Molecule: ribosomal RNA, 626 nt
Filed under: uncultured archaeon
Lineage: Archaea
Description: bacterial SSU rRNA
Rfam family: Archaeal small subunit ribosomal RNA
Source: RNAcentral
UUAUACUCCAUAGAUCAUAGAUUCGGAACGACUUAUGGUCGAAAGUUCCGGCGCUCUAGGAUUGGUCUGCGGCCUAUCAGGUAGUAUUGGGUGUAACGGACCCACUAGCCAGUGACGGGUAUGGGCCUUGAGAGAGGGAGCCCAGAGAUGGAUUCUGAGACACGAAUCCAGGCCCUACGGGGCGCAGCAGUCGCGAAAACUUCACAAUGGGGGCAACCCCGAUGAGGGAAUUCCUAGUGCUGACACUUUUUUGUGUCAGCUUUUCUUUAGCGUAGAUAACUAGAGGAAUAAGGGCUGGGUAAGACGGGUGCCAGCCGCCGCGGUAAUACCCGCAGCCCGAGUGGUGGUCGACUUUAUUGAGUCUAAAACGUUCGUAGCCGGUUCGCUAAAUCCUUGGGUAAAUCGGAAAGCUUAACUUUCCGAAUUCCGAGGAGACUGGCGAACUUGGGACCGGGAGAGGCAAGAGGUACUUGGGGGGUAGGGGUAAAAUCCUGUAAUCCUCCAAGGACCACCGGUGGCGAAGGCGUCUUGCUAGAACGGAUCCGACGGUGAGGGACGAAGCCCUGGGUCGCAAACGGGAUUAGAUACCCCGGUAGUCCAGGGUGUAAACGCUGCAGACUUGGUGU